RNAcentral lists this ribosomal RNA (166 nucleotides) under Boschniakia rossica. RNAcentral's name for it is "5.8S ribosomal RNA". It matches the Rfam family "5.8S ribosomal RNA". Rfam says of the family: 5.8S ribosomal RNA (5.8S rRNA) is a component of the large subunit of the eukaryotic ribosome. Lineage: Eukaryota; Viridiplantae; Streptophyta; Magnoliopsida; Lamiales; Orobanchaceae. The record is from RNAcentral.
CAAAACGACUCUCGGCAACGGAUAUCUCGGCUCUCGCAUCGAUGAAGAACGUACCGAAAUGCGAUACUUGGUGUGAAAUGCAGAAUCCCGUGAACCAUCGAGUCUUUGAACGCAAGUUGCGCCCGAAGCCAUUCGGCCAAGGGCACGUCUGCCUGGGCGUCACGCA